GUGAUGCCAAGAGAAGAGGUAGGCACCAGAACAGGCUGCUGGACUGGAGACUCCACCACCAGGUGCCGUUGUCAUUCCUGACCUCCCCAGGUUGCGGCGUUGGACGUGCCCUGAUCCUUGGAAAGGGGUAAGAGAGCUGUAUUUCAUUAUCAGAAGGUGAUCUCUACUUACCUUGUCUUGUGUCCAUCAGGAGGCAGUGGAGAGUUGUGACCCUCCCGAGUGCUGCAAAGGCUCUACUGAGGCAUUUGGUGGACACAGCAGGAACCUGCACGCACAGAUGGAUGCCAAGAUCCGCUCCUUCCUCUGUCUGGCAAGCUCUGCUGACCCCUGAGGCUGCCAACUGAUCCCUCUCGUGUCUGCAGUAACCCGAAUGUAGUCUAGUAAGGUUUGCUCAAGUGAGAUGGAAAAUGAAGAGGUAGGCUCCAAAACAGACUUGCGUAUUGGAGACUUACCCACCACAUGGUGAUGCCUUCCCUGACCUCCUUGAUUGCAGUGUGGGGAUGUGCCCUGAUCCUUGGAAAGGGGUGAGUGAUUCCUUCAUCCUUACUAGAAGGUAAUCUCUACUUACCUUUUCUUGUGUCCAGCAGGUGGCACUGGAGAGUUGUGACCCUGCUGAGCAGUGCAAGGACUCUACUGAGGCUCUUGGUGGACACAGCGAGAACCCACACCCAUAGGUGGAUGCCAAUAUCUAUUCCUUCCUGUCUGGCAAGCUCUGUUGUCCCCUGAGGUCGUUCCCAUGCUUGCCGAGGUCCUAUGGGCUUGUUGUUGGUUUACCCUUGUGCUCACUUGGCUUUCCAAGGGUGUUCCUCUUACUUGACAACACCUUUCCCAGUCUCUAUUUCCAAGCAGGAGCUCCCCUUGGCCUCCGUGUCUCGCUCUGGCCAGGCAGAUGUGGUGCGCCAACGGUAUGCAGAGUCCAGACCCUGAGCAGAACAACUGAGGAGAGAGGCUGCCCUGGGUGAGACAGGAGAAGUGCCCCUUGAAGCGGGGGACGCCCCGCUGGCGCUGCCUCUCGCAUCCACCGGCAGCACGUUCCUUCUCU
Molecule: long non-coding RNA, 1042 nt
Organism: Gallus gallus (chicken)
Lineage: Eukaryota; Metazoa; Chordata; Aves; Galliformes; Phasianidae
Exons: 4
Source: RefSeq, a predicted model, not a curated record